AACGAACGCUGGCGGCAUGCCUAACACAUGCAAGUCGAACGAUCCCUUCGGGGAUAGUGGCGCACGGGUGCGUAACGCGUGGGAACCUGCCCUUAGGUUCGGAAUAACUCAGAGAAAUUUGAGCUAAUACCGGAUAAUGUCUUCGGACCAAAGAUUUAUCGCCUUUGGAUGGGCCCGGGUUGGAUUAGCUAGUUGGUGGGGUAAAGGCCUACCAAGGCGACGAUCCAUAGCUGGUCUGAGAGGAUGAUCAGCCACACUGGGACUGAGACACGGCCCAGACUCCUACGGGAGGCAGCAGUGGGGAAUAUUGGACAAUGGGCGAAAGCCUGAUCCAGCAAUGCCGCGUGAGUGAUGAAGGCCUUAGGGUUGUAAAGCUCUUUUACCCGGGAUGAUAAUGACAGUACCGGGAGAAUAAGCCCCGGCUAACUCCGUG
This 433-nucleotide ribosomal RNA is filed under the name uncultured bacterium. RNAcentral describes it as "partial 16S ribosomal RNA". It matches the Rfam family "Bacterial small subunit ribosomal RNA", at positions 29 to 507 of the family's 1533-position model. The record is from RNAcentral.